GACGAACGCUGGCGGCGUGCUUAACACAUGCAAGUCGAACGAAGAGCGAUGGAAGCUUGCUUCUAUCAGUCUUAGGGGCGAACGGGUGAGUAACGCGUAAUCAACCUGCCCUUCAGAGGGGGACAACAGUAGGAAACGACUGUUAAUACCGCAUACGAUCUAACCUCGGCAUCGGGGAGAGAGUAAAGGUGGCCUCGACAUGUCAGCUAUCACUGAAGGUGGGGAUUGCGUCUGAGUAGCUCGAUGGCUGGGUCACGUCCCACCUAGGCGAUGAUCAGUAGCCCGUCUGCGAGGAUGGACGGCCACCUUGGGACUGAGACACGGCCCAGACUCCUACGGGAGGCAGCCGUGGGGAAUCGUCCGCAAUGGACGAAAGUCUGACCGCGCAACGCCGCGUCAGUGAUGACGGCCUUCGGGUUGUAAAGCUCUGUUAAUCGGGACGAAAGGCCUUCUUGCGAAUAGUGAGAAGGAUUGACGGUACCGGAAGAGAAAGCCACGGCUAACUACGUG
This 510-nucleotide ribosomal RNA is filed under the name uncultured bacterium. RNAcentral describes it as "partial 16S ribosomal RNA". It matches the Rfam family "Bacterial small subunit ribosomal RNA", at positions 28 to 507 of the family's 1533-position model. The record is from RNAcentral.